Molecule: transfer RNA, 74 nt
Filed under: Deferribacteraceae bacterium
Lineage: Bacteria; Pseudomonadati; Deferribacterota; Deferribacteres; Deferribacterales; Deferribacteraceae
Description: tRNA-Thr
Rfam family: tRNA
About the family: Transfer RNA (tRNA) molecules are approximately 80 nucleotides in length. Their secondary structure includes four short double-helical elements and three loops (D, anti-codon, and T loops).
Source: RNAcentral
GCCCACAUGGCUCAGUCGGUUAGAGCGCGUCCUUGGUAAGGACGAGGUCCCCGGUUCAAUUCCGGGUGUGGGCU